Molecule: long non-coding RNA, 307 nt
Organism: Rattus norvegicus (Norway rat)
Lineage: Eukaryota; Metazoa; Chordata; Mammalia; Rodentia; Muridae
Source: Ensembl
ACUGACAUUUUGAACUUUGUCUUCCUUCUUCUCCAGGAUACCGGAUCCUUUAUGAGUUCUGUUUCAGUUACAGUGUUAUUGCUGUUAAGAGACACCAUGACCAAUAUCCUCGACCUUUUUACUGUGCCUCCUGAUUUACUUCACUAAGGUCCAGGAUACAGUUUGUAUUACAAAAUUGUGCUGAUGCGGGAUUCAAUGAGAGUGUCACUAUGAAAUAUGUGAAAAGAAGUAGGAUCCUGUGUGUGCCGCGUCGUUCCUGCUGGCGAGACGUAGCGCGCGACAUCUGGUGCCGAAACCCGAGAAAGAC